RNAcentral lists this long non-coding RNA (658 nucleotides) under Vigna radiata. Its description in RNAcentral is "long non-coding RNA (VRAD_LNC002296)". The record is from RNAcentral. Lineage: Eukaryota; Viridiplantae; Streptophyta; Magnoliopsida; Fabales; Fabaceae.
AAUCUUUACAUUAAAGUUAUACCUUACAUUACAUGAACCAAUGUUAAUUAUUAAUAUAAUUUAACAAUAUAAACCAAACUGUAUUACACAUAUAACAGAUACCAACAACAUCAGCACCUUGAUCCACUUUUGAACAAUGAAAAAUGAUUUUUGUAAAUUCCCCAUCAUUUUCCUAAUAUUAUCCAUGUCUUCAUUGUUCACCACAGUUUCUUUGUUUCCUUCAUUAUUGAAGAAGCUACCCCAUUCGUCACCACCAAUAUCAUUGCACCAUUUGAAGAAGUUGCAGCCACUUUCUUCAACACCAUUCUGUAAAGACAACAUUCAACUUAAUUAGGGAGUACCACAACUUAAUUAGGUUUAGUUGAAUCAAACAUACCUUAUACUUGGAGCAUCCCCAAAAUUGCUUGCCCCGAUUCUUCGUAGUUUUCGCAGUUCUCACAACACAACUCUCACCACAGUAGCAGAUCGGUGAAGACGUACCAUUUUGCUUCCGCCUGGCGCUGCAACUUGAUGAAUAGCAAGAGUGAUCCUUGGACAUUGUGGAAGAACACCCACCCGCGUCGUUGAACUACAACCUCCACCAACACAGCCAAGAACCCUAUUUUUUCUAAUUUCCCCUAUUUCGCAUAUUUCCCCUCUUUUACAGCACUACCUGACC